RNAcentral lists this transfer RNA (70 nucleotides) under Svistella anhuiensis. RNAcentral's name for it is "tRNA-Trp". The record is from RNAcentral. Lineage: Eukaryota; Metazoa; Arthropoda; Insecta; Orthoptera; Trigonidiidae.
AAGAUUUUAAGUUAAAUUAAACUAUUAACCUUCAAAGUUAAAAAUAAUAUUAAAUACAAAUUAAGUCUUA